This 25-nucleotide non-coding RNA is filed under the name Cricetulus griseus (Chinese hamster). Lineage: Eukaryota; Metazoa; Chordata; Mammalia; Rodentia; Cricetidae. The record is from RNAcentral.
CGGCGACGAGUGAGUGAUGGAGAUG